GUGCUUGCUUUGGCAGCAUGCAUUCUAAAAUUGAAAUAAUAGAGAAGUUUAAUAUUGCCUUGUGCAGGGAUAACCUGCAAAUUCACAAAUUAUUCCAUAUUUUU
Molecule: small nuclear RNA, 104 nt
Filed under: Mesocricetus auratus (golden hamster)
Lineage: Eukaryota; Metazoa; Chordata; Mammalia; Rodentia; Cricetidae
Source: RNAcentral